CCUAUUGUAGUGAAAUCGAGUAGGUCGGGACACGUGAAAUCCUGACUGAAUAUGGGGGGACCAUCCUCCAAGGCUAAAUACUCCUAGCUGACCGAUAGUGAACUAGUACCGUGAGGGAAAGGCGAAAAGAACCCCGGUGAGGGGAGUGAAAUAGAUCCUGAAACCGCGUACGUACAAGCAGUCGGAGCCCUUCGGGGUGACGGCGUACCUUUUGUAUAAUGGGUCAGCGAGUUAUUGUCUGUAGCAAGGUUAACCGUCUAGGGGAGCCGUAGGGAAACCGAGUCUUAAUAGGGCGCUUAGUUGCAGGUAAUAGACCCGAAACCGGACGAUCUAGCCAUGGCCAGGUUGAAGGUGCCGUAACAGGCACUGGAGGACCGAACCCACCUAUGUUGAAAAAUGGGGGGAUGAGCUGUGGCUCGGAGUGAAAGGCUAAUCAAGUCCGGAGAUAGCUGGUUCUCCCCGAAAUCUAUUUAGGUAGAGCCUCGUGAAUAACUGCUGGGGGUAAAGCACUGUUUCGGCUAGGGGGUCAUCCCGACUUACCAAACCGAUGCAAACUCUGAAUACCAGUAAGUUCAAUCACGGGAGACAGACAGCGGGUGCUAACGUCCGUUGUCAAGAGGGCAACAACCCAGACCACCAGCUAAGGUCCCUAAUAUCAGUUCAGUGGGAAACGAUGUGGGAAGGCUUAGACAGCUAGGAGGUUGGCUUAGAAGCAGCCACCCUUUAAAGAAAGCGUAAUAGCUCACUGGUUGAGUCGGUCUGCGGGGAAGAUUUAACGGGGCUAAGCAGUGAACCUAAGCUUGGGGUGCAUA
RNAcentral lists this ribosomal RNA (812 nucleotides) under Ditylum brightwellii. RNAcentral describes it as "partial Bacterial large subunit ribosomal RNA". It matches the Rfam family "Bacterial large subunit ribosomal RNA", at positions 393 to 1212 of the family's 2925-position model. The record is from RNAcentral. Lineage: Eukaryota; Bacillariophyta; Thalassiosirophyceae; Lithodesmiales; Lithodesmiaceae.